UAACUGCCUGCCCAGGACCCCACGUUACCACAGGGGUCCUGGCCAAUCACCAGGCAGCCUUUCACUGCCGUGCUUUUUCACACCAAACAGCUGUCCCUGCCCACUCUCCCUGGCCAAUCACCAGGUGGUUGUCCCUGCCUUUCUCUUUCUGACCAAUCACCAGGCUGCGUUCAGCUGUUAUCACAUCCUGUAGCCAAUCCCCAGGCAGAAUGGCUGUCCAAUCACCAGGCAGCUCUCUCCCAUGUCCUCCUGCCCUCCUCCACCAGUGGCCAUCUUGGACUCAUGAGCUGUUGGGCGGUGGCAGCUGCUGGUCUUUUCUGGGACAGAGCCUGGCAGCCUCUCCUCUGUGGCCCAGUCUUCCUUUCCCAGACUACAUGCCAGUGCUGAGGACCUCUGGGCUCUCUCCACUUGUACUCCAUCAGUCUUCAUCAGUUGAGGAUAUUCUUUUUUAGGGAUCAGUUUUGAAAUGAAGAGGAACCCCCAGACGUGGAACAAAACCAAUCUCAUUAGUUGUAUUCCACCAGAAAGCUUCAACAAAAUUGCUUGUAAACCAC
RNAcentral lists this long non-coding RNA (554 nucleotides) under Ailuropoda melanoleuca (giant panda). Its description in RNAcentral is "lncRNA (ENSAMEG00000031440.1)". The record is from RNAcentral. Lineage: Eukaryota; Metazoa; Chordata; Mammalia; Carnivora; Ursidae.